This 75-nucleotide transfer RNA is filed under the name Chloroflexota bacterium. Its description in RNAcentral is "Chloroflexi bacterium (marine sediment metagenome) tRNA-Met". It matches the Rfam family "tRNA". Rfam says of the family: Transfer RNA (tRNA) molecules are approximately 80 nucleotides in length. Their secondary structure includes four short double-helical elements and three loops (D, anti-codon, and T loops). Lineage: Bacteria; Bacillati; Chloroflexota. RNAcentral also lists the same sequence under 1 other name. The record is from RNAcentral.
GCCAACGUAGCUCAGGGGAAGAGCGGGCGCUUCAUAAGCGCUAGGUCGCAGGUUCGAGCCCUGCCGUUGGCACCA